Molecule: long non-coding RNA, 376 nt
Organism: Saccoglossus kowalevskii
Lineage: Eukaryota; Metazoa; Hemichordata; Enteropneusta; Harrimaniidae
Source: RefSeq, a predicted model, not a curated record
GGGUAGCCAUUCGUACGCCGUAAGGAAACUAUACAGCAGACGCGAUCAUUUUCUCUGACGUCUUCCAAUCAAAACUAACAUCAACAACAGGAAAUCACGGAAAGUCAUCAUGGUACCAACACGCAUUAUCUUGAUUUUAAUUGUCUUGUUGUCGUCAAUCUCCCUACUGGAAUCUUUUUUAUUUGGUCUGUACGGCGGCUAUCUUGUCGAACCCGGAAAACGCUUCAAUUUGUUAAAUCUCAUAUCGAGAAGAAUGACUGACACCAGUACAAACAACUGAGACUAUCCUUAUACAUAUGUAUUUAUGAUUCAACUAAUGCAUUUAAGAAUAUGUCAAUAAACACGUUUAGUGUAAAUCACUAAAUUGUAAAACAGA